CAUCUUUUCCUCUGCAAAAAAACAAAGCGAAGGUCUUCUGAUUUGCUCCUCCGUAUGAAUUUUCCGACGAUCCCUCAUGAAUCGAACGUUGUCUCCAUCAACGUCGGAGGCCGAAUCUUCCAAACGACGAAACAAACCUUAACCUUAGCUGGCUCCGAUUCUCUUCUAUCUCGACUCGUCGUCACUGAGUCGACUCCUCCUUUCGUCGAUCGAGAUCCCGAUUUGUUCUCCGUUUUACUCUAUAUCCUCCGUACAGGGAACCUACCCGCGAGAUCAUCACGCUCCUUCGAUGUUCGAGAUCUCAUCGAUGAAUCUAGAUACUACGGGAUUGAGUCUUUCUUAAUCGAUUCUCUCUCGAAUUCGUCGCAGUUCGAGCCGUUCGAUCUCCGUAGAUCUAGGAUUCUUCAAUUGAACGGUCGAGAUUCUCCGUCGACGAUUUCGCCGACGGUUAACGGCGGAGGUCUACACGUCACGCACGGUAGCAAAAUCACUUCCUUCGAUUGGUCGUUGAGGCAAAAAUCGACUGUGUUGACGAAUUUCUCCGCCGUGGAUUCUCUUCUUGAGAUCUCUCCGGGAGUUUUAGCUGCCGGAGCCACCGAUUUCCAAGGUUUGCAAAUCAUCGAUAUUGAAAACGGUGGAUUCGUCCGUACGACUUUGAAUUGGGAAAACGUGACUAGGUCUAGCUCUACGGUUCAAGCCAUAGGUUCUUCCUCUGAGUUUCUGUUCACUAGCUUUGAAUCUAGCAGAAGGAACUCGAAUUCGAUUAUGGUGUAUGAUCUUUCUACGUUGAUGCCUGUGUCUGAGAUUGAUCAUUGUGAUAUCUAUGGCCCUGAUAUUGGUUCUGCGAUUCCAUCGACUAAGUUGAGGUGGAUUGAGAGUUGUAAUUUGUUGAUGGUUUCUGGUUCUCAUACUAGUCCAUCUGGUGUGAAUGGCCACAUUAGGUUUUGGGAUGUUAGAUCAAGGAAUAUGGUUUGGGAAAUUAAGGAGACACAAGAUUGUUUCUCUGAUGUUACUGUCUCGGAUAAUCUCUCAGCAGUUUUCAAGGUCGGUGUGGCUUCAGGAGAAGUUUUCUACGCUGAUCUCAGGAGGUUAGGAGAUAAGAAUCCAUGGGUUUGUCUUGGGGAAGAGAAGAAGAGAAGCUUGAAUGAGAGAAGAGAAGGAGUUGGGUGUAAGAUUGAGAGCUAUGGAAAUCAUGUGUUUUGUAGUAAAGGAAGUGGGAUCGAGCUUUGGUCUGAAGUGAUCACGGGUUUGGUAGGGAAUGCAAGCCGGGAUGUUCCAGAAGGGAGGGUUUUUAGGAAGAAUUCAUUCGAGAAAUUAGCGGAUUCAGGAGAAAACAAGAUAACCGGAUUGGCGUUUGGAGGAAAUAGAAUGUUUGUGACCCGAAAGGAUCAUCAGUCUAUUGAGGUUUGGCAAAGUCCUAGUCGUGGAAUAUCGAUCUAAUGAGCAAGUACCAAGCUCUGGUUCCAGUGAUCACUAGUUGGUUAGAAUUGAAUCCAACCAAAACUAGUUAGCGACUUACAACCAAAACGGUUUGUUACAGAAGACACAUCUAUGUCUUUAUCUACCAGAGCUAGUUCUGUAGUCAGAGAGGCCGUUAGUAUAGUCUCCAACUUCGGUUUCGGGAACUCUGUUACCAGAAUAUCU
Capsella rubella is the source of this 1644-nucleotide RNA transcript. It is a transcript of the gene named BTB/POZ domain-containing protein At5g41330, with no coding region annotated. The transcript is spliced from 2 exons. NCBI's taxonomy places the organism in Eukaryota, Viridiplantae, Streptophyta, Magnoliopsida, Brassicales, Brassicaceae. The record is from RefSeq and is a predicted model, not a curated record.